UACGGGGGGGGCAAGCGUUGUUCGGAAUUACUGGGCGUAAAGGGCGCGUAGGCGGCCUUCUAAGUCAGACGUGAAAUCCCUCGGCUCAACCGAGGAACUGCGUCUGAUACUGGAAGGCUUGAAUCCGGGAGAGGGAUGUGGAAUUCCAGGUGUAGCGGUGAAAUGCGUAGAUAUCUGGAGGAACACCGGUGGCGAAGGCGGCUCACUGGCUGGUAACUGACGCUGAGGCGCGAAAGCGUGGGGAGCAAACAGG
RNAcentral lists this ribosomal RNA (253 nucleotides) under uncultured bacterium. RNAcentral's name for it is "partial 16S ribosomal RNA". It matches the Rfam family "Bacterial small subunit ribosomal RNA", at positions 524 to 776 of the family's 1533-position model. The record is from RNAcentral.